UUUGAUUGAAAUUCAGGUUGAGAGACACCCAGAUGUCAGAAUGUUGUUGAUAAAAUUUUAUCUGUCUCGAUGAAACCGGAAUCAAAGGACAGAGUAUUCCUAGUACGGAUAGACAUUGCAUGUGUGAGUCAUACUAACCUGUUUGCUAUUUUGAGGUUUCAGUAUUCAGCCGGUGCGCAUAGCUCGUCUGUUCAGAUAACCUGCUGGGGGUCAACAAAUCCAAGCUGAUGGAUCUUAC
Molecule: long non-coding RNA, 238 nt
Filed under: Lathyrus oleraceus (garden pea)
Lineage: Eukaryota; Viridiplantae; Streptophyta; Magnoliopsida; Fabales; Fabaceae
Description: Pisum sativum (pea) long non-coding RNA (PSAT_LNC028518)
Source: RNAcentral